CUGCCCUUCCUUGGGGGCUGGUUUCACUGGUUCUUAGUCCUCCACCCUGACUCAUUUGAGGUGGUUUGCACCUGGGUCCUGGAGGCCACUUAUCCCAAGCUUCUUUCAACUCACAGGCUGGCCUGGACUCUCACCAUCUUUUCAGAGGGGACUUCAGCGGCAAAGAGGGAAUGGUGAACACAUGACUCCUCUGAGAGGAUUUUUAGGGACAAGGAAAAGCACCGAGUUACCAUCAUGGUCUGCAUAUUCUUAUGAAUAAUUUAGAAGUAUAAAAGAAGUCCCUUCGAUCACUGCAGCAGCAAGCACUGGCCUCUCGCUUACCAAGGCACCCAACACACGGGCCACGUGCACCGGCUGGCUCCACUUCUCUACCUGCUUGUCCUCGCUCAGCAAGCGCAGGCUGAGGUCAAUGACAUCCCCCUCGAACUGUUAAGGAUCACACAGGGCCAUGAUGAAGGGUCCCCAGGUCAGGCACUCAUCCUGCAGGACAGCCUCAUCAUCUCGUCCUUCUCCCAGACCCGCACUCCACACCUGCCUCCCUUGCCUCGUCCCUCUGAGGAGCUCUGGCUCCCUCCCCCCACCUCUCAAUGGGACCUGGGUUCCUUUUCCCAGGCAUCCAGUCCUUUGCCUAGCUGUUUUCUGACUCCCAGUAGGGUGUGAGCUCUCAGGGACCCAUGCUGUACUGUUUCGUUUCAUUGCAUUGCAUUCCAUUUCCAUUUAGUGAACCCUGACUGCUCCUACCAGCCCUGAACCGGGAGUGGAGGAUACCGAGGCAGCUCCUGUUCCUGAGGAGCCCACGGUUUAGGACUGGAGAUGGACACGCAGUGCAGCCCCUUAGAUUACAGAGCACAGCAGCAUGGCCAGGGCUCUUGUAGAGAUGCUGGCACAGAGCAGCACAGUGGAGAGGCUCCCCCUGCCUUCGGGGAUUGGGGAAGGCUUUGAGAAGGUCUUGAGAGAUGGGUAGGAGCUUGCCAGGAGAUAAGAGUGGGAAGCCCUUCCUGGCAGAGGGAACGUUCAGCCUGUUGCUCUGAGGAUGGUGAGGAGUUGGAACAUGGGGCGGUUCAUGGGGAAAGGAAAGCAGGGUCCUGGCUGGAAGGGCCGUGGAUGUUAGGCUAGGGGGAUUUGGUCUUUAUCUCAAAGACAGUGGGGAUGUAACUGGGGCUUGAUUUGCCACAGUUUUAAGGAAAAUAAUUCUGGGAGCUCCUGGAGGAUGUUCUGAUAUGGCCCAGAGGAAGGAGAGGCAUCACAAAGCUGAAAUGGGCUAAAGAAAUGGUCUCAUGACCAGGGGUUUUUGAACCUACCAGCUCUGUCUAGCCUGAACAUGCAAGGUUAUGGGACAGUCACUCUACACACUCCUCCCCUAGAGGGCCCUGGUACCUGGCCAAAGUCCCAGGACUCUGCCUGGAUGCAGUCAGCUGUACCCAGGUAGAUGAGACCAUUCUGGUUCAACAAGUACUCCAUGCGCUGAGCCUCAUUCUUCAGGAACACAGCAUCCUCUGGUGAGAGGUGGGUAGGGAUGAGGGCCUGUGGGGGUCCUAGGUCCACCCUCCACAUCCAGGCCUCUGUCCUCCCUGCCGAGAUUAGGUUUGGCUGCAGGCCACCCCGUCAGCUCUGGGCCUAAUGAAGACUGAGGAGGAAGUCCCUCUUUCACUGCCCCCACUGGGACCCAGCCCAGAGUCCCUGGGUCAAUCAGGGUGUGGCCUUUAUGGUCAGCCAGGAAGACAAGAACAACCUUAAAAAGCUUGGCUGGCCAGGUGCAGUGGCUCACGCCUAUAAUCCCAGCACUUUGGGAGGCCAAAGCAGGACAGUUUGAGGCCAGGAGUUCGAGACCAGCCUGGGCAACACAGCAAGACUCCGUCUCUACAAAAAAUAAAAAAAAACAGCCAGGUGUGGUGGUGCGCACUUGUAGUCCUAGCUAUUCAGGAGGCUGAAGCGGGAGGAAACUUGAGCCCAGGAGUUUGAGGUUGCAAUGAGCUAUGAUGGUGCCACUGCACUCCAGCCUGGGUGACAGAGUGAGAGAUUUUCUCUUAAAAAAAAUGAA
This 2041-nucleotide long non-coding RNA is filed under the name Pan troglodytes (chimpanzee). RNAcentral's name for it is "long non-coding RNA NONPTRT005317". The record is from RNAcentral. Lineage: Eukaryota; Metazoa; Chordata; Mammalia; Primates; Hominidae.